AAUUCUCAACCCCUCCAGCCUGUGUUGGCUUGUGGGGCUUGGAUUGUGGAGGUGUUGCCGGCCUUUUGAAAGGUUGGCUCCUCUGAAAUGCAUUAGCGGAACUGUUUGUGAUCCAAGGUGUGAUAAUUAUCUAUGCCAAUGGAUUGCUCUCUGUCUUGUUCAGCUGCCAACUGUCUACCAAGGACAAUCAUUACUGAAU
Molecule: unclassified non-coding RNA, 199 nt
Filed under: uncultured Agaricaceae
Lineage: Eukaryota; Fungi; Basidiomycota; Agaricomycetes; Agaricales; Agaricaceae
Description: sequence contains ITS2
Source: RNAcentral